This 445-nucleotide ribosomal RNA is filed under the name uncultured bacterium. Its description in RNAcentral is "partial 16S ribosomal RNA". It matches the Rfam family "Bacterial small subunit ribosomal RNA", at positions 354 to 796 of the family's 1533-position model. The record is from RNAcentral.
GUGAGGAAUAUUGGUCAAUGGGCGGGAGCCUGAACCAGCCAAGUCGCGUGAAGGAAGAAGGAUCUAUGGUUCGUAAACUUCUUUUGCAGGGGAAUAAAGUGCCGGACGUGUCCUGUUUUGUAUGUACCCUGAGAAUAAGGAUCGACUAACUCCGUGCCAGCAGCCGCGGUAAUACGGAGGAUCCGAGCGUUAUCCGGAUUUAUUGGGUUUAAAGGGUGCGUAGGUGGUUUGAUAAGUCAGCGGUGAAAGUUUGCAGCUUAACUGUAAAAAUGCCGUUGAAACUGUCGGACUUGAGUGAAAAUGAGGUAGGCGGAAUGCGUGGUGUAGCGGUGAAAUGCAUAGAUAUCACGCAGAACUCCGAUUGCGAAGGCAGCUUACUAAGCUACAACUGACACUGAAGCACGAAAGCGUGGGGAUCAAACAGGAUUAGAAACCCUGGUAGUCC